This 452-nucleotide ribosomal RNA is filed under the name uncultured bacterium. Its description in RNAcentral is "bacterial SSU rRNA". It matches the Rfam family "Bacterial small subunit ribosomal RNA", at positions 29 to 526 of the family's 1533-position model. The record is from RNAcentral.
AACGAACGCUGGCGGCAGGCUUAACACAUGCAAGUCGAGCGGGCCCUUCGGGGUCAGCGGCGGACGGGUGAGUAACGCGUGGGAACGUGCCCUUCCCUCUGGAAUAGCCUCGGGAAACUGAGAUUAAUGCCGGAUACGCCCUUCGGGGGAAAGAUUUAUCGGGGAAGGAUCGGCCCGCGUUGGAUUAGGUAGUUGGUGGGGUAAUGGCCUACCAAGCCGACGAUCCAUAGCUGGUUUGAGAGGAUGAUCAGCCACACUGGGACUGAGACACGGCCCAGACUCCUACGGGAGGCAGCAGUGGGGAAUCUUGGACAAUGGGGGCAACCCUGAUCCAGCCAUGCCGCGUGAGCGAUGAAGGCCCUAGGGUUGUAAAGCUCUUUCAGCGGGGAAGAUAAUGACGGUACCCGCAGAAGAAGCCCCGGCUAACUCCGUGCCAGCCGCCGCAGUAACAC